UGGGGGAUAUUGCACAAUGGGCGAAAGCCUGAUGCAGCGACGCCGCGUGGGGGAUGAAGGCUUUCGGGUUGUAAACCUCUUUCGCUAUCGAACAAGGCCCGCUUAGGGUGGGUUGAGGGUAGGUGGAGAAGAAGCGCCGGCUAACUACGUGCCAGCAGCCGCGGUAAUACGUAGGGCGCGAGCGUUGUCCGGAAUUAUUGGGCGUAAAGGGCUUGUAGGCGGCUUGUUGCGCCUGCUGUGAAAACGCGGGGCUUAACUUCGCGCGUGCAGUGGGUACGGGCAGGCUUGAGUGUGGUAGGGGUGACUGGAAUUCCAGGUGUAGCGGUGGAAUGCGCAGAUCUCUGGAGGAACACCGAUGGCGAAGGCAGGUCACUGGGCCAUUACUGACGCUGAGGAGCGAAAGCAUGGGUAGCGAACAGG
This 420-nucleotide ribosomal RNA is filed under the name bacterium. RNAcentral's name for it is "partial 16S ribosomal RNA". It matches the Rfam family "Bacterial small subunit ribosomal RNA", at positions 355 to 776 of the family's 1533-position model. The record is from RNAcentral.